GGGCCUAUAGCUCAUCUGGUAGAGCGCCGCUCUUGCAAAGCGGAGGCGGCCGGUUCGACUCCGGCUGGGUCCA
Molecule: transfer RNA, 73 nt
Filed under: Catellatospora citrea
Lineage: Bacteria; Bacillati; Actinomycetota; Actinomycetes; Micromonosporales; Micromonosporaceae
Also listed under: 2 other names
Description: tRNA-Ala
Rfam family: tRNA
About the family: Transfer RNA (tRNA) molecules are approximately 80 nucleotides in length. Their secondary structure includes four short double-helical elements and three loops (D, anti-codon, and T loops).
Source: RNAcentral